AAUAGAUACCCAGGUAGUCCAUGCCGUAAACGUUGGGAACUAGAUGUAGGGUCCAUUCCACGGAUUCUGUGUCGCAGCUAACGCAUUAAGUUCCCCGCCUGGGGAGUACGGCCGCAAGGCUAAAACUCAAAGGAAUUGACGGGGGCCCGCACAAGCGGCGGAGCAUGCGGAUUAAUUCGAUGCAACGCGAAGAACCUUACCAAGGCUUGACAUAUACCGGAAACGGCUGGAAACAGUCGCCCCGCAAGGUCGGUAUACAGGUGGUGCAUGGUUGUCGUCAGCUCGUGUCGUGAGAUGUUGGGUUAAGUCCCGCAACGAGCGCAACCCUCGUUCUUUGUUGCCAGCACGUCAUGGUGGGAACUCAAAGGUGACUGCCGGGGUUCAACUCGGAGGAAGGUGGGGAUGACGUCAAAUCAUCAUGCCCCUUAUGUCUUGGGCUUCACGCAUGCUACAAUGGCCGGUACAAAGGGCUGCAGUACCGUAAGGUGGAGCGAAUCCCGAAAAAGCCGGUCUCAGUUCGGAUUGAGGUCUGCAACUCGA
Molecule: ribosomal RNA, 540 nt
Filed under: uncultured bacterium
Lineage: Bacteria
Description: bacterial SSU rRNA
Rfam family: Bacterial small subunit ribosomal RNA
Source: RNAcentral